This is a non-coding RNA of Pelobates cultripes (western spadefoot toad), 438 nucleotides long. Lineage: Eukaryota; Metazoa; Chordata; Amphibia; Anura; Pelobatidae. The record is from the annotation of a GenBank genome assembly.
CGCAGACUUGACACCAUGGAGGAUCAGAGGCGAAGGUACAACUUAAAACUCAGGGGAGUGCCGGAAAAUGUGGGACUGUCGGACUUACCUCACUUUAUCAGGCGGUUCUUCGCGGCCCACCUCUCUCCGAAACAAGCCAAGAACAUGAGGCUAGACGGUAUGUUCCGUCUCCCCAAACCAACCAACGCACCAUCCUCCACUUCACCAGACCUCAUCCUCCGCUUCAGCACCCUACAGGACAAGGCCCUCUUGCAAGCCGCGGUGAGGGGAAAGACGCCCAUUACCUUUGAGGGCGCCUCACUGCUCAUUUUCCCGGAUCUAGCUAAGAACACACUCCUGUGGCGCCAAUCCCUACGACCACUACUUCAGCAGCUACGCACUAACGAGGUGCCAUAUCGAUGGGGCCCCUCCCGCACGGUCCUAAUAACAGCCCAAGAC